RNAcentral lists this unclassified non-coding RNA (236 nucleotides) under Hevea brasiliensis (rubber tree). Lineage: Eukaryota; Viridiplantae; Streptophyta; Magnoliopsida; Malpighiales; Euphorbiaceae. The record is from RNAcentral.
AUAUGAUAAUUAUUAACAAUUUAUAGACUUUGUUUGGGUGUUCAACGGGUUGUCUCGGAUAGGAUUCGUGUUUACAGUCAUUCCCAACGUUUUCAGACGUUCUGGAUACAUUCUAGGUAGCAAAAAUUGCAAAGGCAGUCCUGAACUCAAGUUGUGUAGUUUUACCUUGGCUAAGUUGGUUGGUUAAAUCUAUAAAAUAUUUUUGACUUAGAAAAAUUUAGUAAAAUAAUUUUAAU